CAACGUUAACUGGUUGUUGUUACUUCAGUUGUCAUAAUCCUUCUAGUGUGAAGACCUCUACAACUGUGAUUUUUGUGUCAAACUCCAUCUUUAGGUCAACCUAUAUCAAUUCUCGUAUUCCGAGAGGUAUCUAUCCGGUAUUGAAGUGCCGUGAUACGUUUUGCAGUCUAGCCAAGAUGCUCUCCCAAACAGUAUGACCUAAAUCCUUUGAAAUGAAGAGAUCUGAUCCGAUCUGACCAAGUCAAACCCUCGGUUGCCGCAAAAGACCUUUCUUUUAGGAUUUAUGAGAGAAGGGUGCUUGCUGAGUCGACUUCAAUGCAUAGAACAAGUAAAAACAUAGUUAUUGAAAAAACUGCAAGCUGACAAAAGCAAACAGGAUUGGCAACAUGCAUUGGCGUGAUGGACGUCUGCCUCCGAAGCGGUUGAAGAUUGUUUGUGACGAAAGUUCCGCAUACCUUUUCCAACCCCUGCAUCAAUCCGAAGCAUGGUUGCAUUAUUCUGACAUGUACUGAUUCGGGCUGCUGAAAGCUGACAACAUCAACAUUUCCUCACUCUCUCUUAUUCAUGAUUCUAAACAAACAUUCUUUGUCGACCCUGAUGUCUGCCUUGUUCUAUGGUGGAUGGUGCUUUCGGAAAUGAACAAACUAAGUAGUGGUGAGGGUGACAAAAGGGGAGGCGCUUACAUGGGGUGUUGGGAAAAUCAAACUCCAGACCUUAUGCACCUCAAAGAAAAUAACAUACCACUGGACCAGAUACCCUCAGCACCUCUGUUCAGUGUAGGCAGAACUGAUGCCUAUGAUAUCAAGGAUUACAAAUUCCGGCCAUAAUUGUACCAAAUUCACCUCAUAGAAAACACGGGAUCUGAUAGCAUGUUUAAAGGUGUGUAUAUAUAUAUAUAUAUAUACACGUAUAUAUCUCUAUUUUGAAGAUGUGAGUCUUUGAGUUGCUAAAUUUUC
RNAcentral lists this long non-coding RNA (956 nucleotides) under Physcomitrium patens. Its description in RNAcentral is "long non-coding RNA (PPAT_LNC006601)". The record is from RNAcentral. Lineage: Eukaryota; Viridiplantae; Streptophyta; Bryopsida; Funariales; Funariaceae.